This 726-nucleotide long non-coding RNA is filed under the name Olea europaea subsp. europaea. The record is from RNAcentral. Lineage: Eukaryota; Viridiplantae; Streptophyta; Magnoliopsida; Lamiales; Oleaceae.
CUAUUGUUCAUUCAGGAACAUGAUACAAAUUCUUUUCACAUAGAGCAUCAUCUAUUGAGGAUGUUAACGAAAUUAAUGCCAGGAUCUUCAAUUGUACGAACCGGGCUCAGUUUCAACCAACAAAUCAAACAUCAACCACUUGAUUUCUAACCCCGAAUCCAAACCUCACUCAUGGUUGCCCAAUUACAUUGCUCACAAAGGAUUAUAUGGUGACUGCAAUAUUACAAAGGGAGAGAAGAAGAAGGAAGACACAAAACAAAGCUUUCAAUUGCACAAGAUACUCUCAUGUGCCGCUUCUGAUACCAUUUGUCUCGGAAGUACUUCGAUUCAUGCAAAAAAUCCAGCUCAGUUUUUCAAUACAAGAAUUAAACAUCAACCAAAGAUUGCACAAACCCAAAAAUCUAUUCACUUCAGUUGCCUACUUUCUUGCAACCACAAAGGACACAAAUCUGGUGGUUAAUUGCAGCCACAAAGGAGGAGAAUUAUUUACGAAGUAAUUGGUUUAAACUUAAGCACAAAGAAGAAAAAUCACCAAAGAUGGCUGCCUCUUUUUCUUGCAAAUAACACACUCAUUCUCCCUAUAAACAAAAAGAGGCUUAUUUAUAGAACUAGGGAUAAGAAACACAAUGGGCCAACAAUAGGUAAAUGGGCCAAAGCAUAACAAAUAGGCUAAACACAAAUUGGACCAAGUAACAUAACAUGAGAUGGGUCGACAAAUCAAAGGGA